This 584-nucleotide ribosomal RNA is filed under the name Colletotrichum sp. DoF14. Its description in RNAcentral is "eukaryotic LSU rRNA". The stretch from base 174 to 327 matches the Rfam family "5.8S ribosomal RNA". Lineage: Eukaryota; Fungi; Ascomycota; Sordariomycetes; Glomerellales; Glomerellaceae. The record is from RNAcentral.
AUGAAAGUUUCGGCUCUAUAACCCUUUGUGACAUACCUAUAACUGUUGCUUCGGCGGGUAGGGUCUCCGCGACCCUCCCGGCCUCCCGCCUCCGGGCGGGUCGGCGCCCGCCGGAGGAUAACCAAACUCUGAUUUAACGACGUUUCUUCUGAGUGGUACAAGCAAAUAAUCAAAACUUUUAACAACGGAUCUCUUGGUUCUGGCAUCGAUGAAGAACGCAGCGAAAUGCGAUAAGUAAUGUGAAUUGCAGAAUUCAGUGAAUCAUCGAAUCUUUGAACGCACAUUGCGCCCGCCAGCAUUCUGGCGGGCAUGCCUGUUCGAGCGUCAUUUCAACCCUCAAGCUCUGCUUGGUGUUGGGGCCCUACAGCUGAUGUAGGCCCUCAAAGGUAGUGGCGGACCCUCCCGGAGCCUCCUUUGCGUAGUAACUUUACGUCUCGCACUGGGAUCCGGAGGGACUCUUGCCGUAAAACCCCCCAAUUUUCCAAAGGUUGACCUCGGAUCAGGUAGGAAUACCCGCUGAACUUAAGCAUAUCAAUAAGCGGAGGAACCAAAGGUGACCUCGGAUCAGGUAGAAGGGCACCAGU